GAAAGCAAGUGUGGGGGAAGUGAUUCUUGUGUGUGUGUGUGUGUGUGCCAAAGUCCUUAAUAAGGCACGGGUAGAAAAGAAAAAAAAAGAAAUUGAAAAAAAAAAAGUAUGAAAAAGAGCUCUUAAAGUGUUUGUUUGUUAAAGAAAGGAUUCAAAACAUUGAAUUCGGCCCUAAGUGUUGCAUGAAUCUUCCCCUUUGCAUUUAAAAGUUGAUUAUGCAUUCUAAAGUGAUUUCCAAGUGUCUAUUUCAUUGCUUUGCUUGCUAUCGCUUUAAGAACGUUUGUUAUCCUUAUCCUUUCUUUGUUAGCCAUUACCCCCAAGCCCUGUUACAACCCUUGACUUCAAUCUUGAGUGUUGUGUGUUUCAAUUUGUGGAGUUCAAAAUUGGUAUGAGCAUAUGGUGUUACUGGUUCUCGCAUCUAAGUAGUAGCAUUCCAUUCAUGAGAUCAUAUCUAAACAUGCUUAAUAACUCCAGAAAAUUGCUUUCUUUGUUAUAACAUAUGUGAGUCCUAGUCUUUCGUGUUUACAUCAAUCUUCUCACAUAUACCAGUGUAGGGUGUGUAGUCAAAAAAUGUGUGUGAAAAUAGAGAGUAUCUUGUAAGGAAUUAAGCAAAUUCUCUAAGGCAUGUUACUACAUUCAAAACAUCGUUUUAAUUGGUUAAUUGUGAACUAGUAAGUGGUGACUGUGAUUAAGUAUGUGCUCAAGUGUAAAGAUGACCAAAAUCUGUGGGAAUGAUGAUUUUUAACAUGUCAUAUUUCAUUAAAAAUCCCUGAGGCAAAUGUUGGAAGGUCUAGGUUGUGUUUUGUUUGUUUCGUUUGUUUUAUUUUGCUCGAG
RNAcentral lists this long non-coding RNA (834 nucleotides) under Malus domestica (apple). RNAcentral describes it as "long non-coding RNA (MDOM_LNC019468)". Lineage: Eukaryota; Viridiplantae; Streptophyta; Magnoliopsida; Rosales; Rosaceae. The record is from RNAcentral.